RNAcentral lists this ribosomal RNA (556 nucleotides) under uncultured bacterium. RNAcentral's name for it is "partial 16S ribosomal RNA". It matches the Rfam family "Bacterial small subunit ribosomal RNA", at positions 355 to 900 of the family's 1533-position model. The record is from RNAcentral.
UAGGGAAUCUUCCACAAUGGACGCAAGUCUGAUGGAGCAACGCCGCGUGAGUGAAGAAGGUUUUCGGAUCGUAAAGCUCUGUUGUUGGUGAAGAAGGAUAGAGGUAGUAACUGGCCUUUAUUUGACGGUAAUCAACCAGAAAGUCACGGCUAACUACGUGCCAGCAGCCGCGGUAAUACGUAGGUGGCAAGCGUUGUCCGGAUUUAUUGGGCGUAAAGCGAGCGCAGGCGGAAGAAUAAGUCUGAUGUGAAAGCCCUCGGCUUAACCGAGGAAUUGCAUCGGAAACUGUUUUCUUGAGUGCAGAAGAGGAGAGUGGAACUCCAUGUGUAGCGGUGGAAUGCGUAGAUAUAUGGAAGAACACCAGUGGCGAAGGCGGCUCUCUGGUCUGCAACUGACGCUGAGGCUCGAAAGCAUGGGUAGCGAACAGGAUUAGAUACCCUGGUAGUCCAUGCCGUAAACGAUGAGUGCUAAGUGUUGGGGAGGUUUUCCGCCUCUCAGUGCUGCAGCUAACGCAUUAAGCACUCCGCCUGGGGGAGUACGACCGCAAGGUUGAAAC